GGGCCCGCACAAGCGGUGGAGCAUGUGGUUUAAUUCGAUGCAACGCGAAAAACCUUACCAGGCCUUGACAUCCAGAGAACUUACCAGAGAUGGUUCGGUGCCUUCGGGAACUCUGUGACAGGUGUUGCAUGGCUGUCGUCAGCUCGUGUCGUGAGAUGUUGGGUUAAGUCCCGUAACGAGCGCAACCCUUAUCCUUACUUGCCAGCACGUAAUGGUGGGAACUUUAAGGAGACUGCCGGUGACAAACCGGAGGAAGGAGAGGAUGAUGUCAAGUCAUCAUGGCCCUUACGGCCUGGGCUACACACGUGCUACAAUGGGAAGUACAAAGGGCCGCAAUACCGCGAGGUGGAGCAAAUCCCAAAAACUUUCGUAGUCCGGAUUGGAGUCUGCAACUCGACUCCAUG
Molecule: ribosomal RNA, 404 nt
Filed under: uncultured bacterium
Lineage: Bacteria
Description: bacterial SSU rRNA
Rfam family: Bacterial small subunit ribosomal RNA
Source: RNAcentral